AAUUAAAAAAUUAAUAAAAUAUUUUUAAUAAAAAAAUUUUUAAAAAAAAUAUUAAUUAUAGUAUAUAUUAUAGAAAUAAUUAAAAAUUUUAUAGUGAAUAAGUAAUGUAAAAGAAUUUUGAAAUAAUUGAAAAUUUAUUUUAAAAAAAGUAAAUUUAAUUUAUUGUAUCUUGUGUAUCAGAGUUUAUAAAAAAAAAUUUUUCAUAAAAAAAAAUUUCUCGAAUUAAAAAGAGUUAUUAAAUUAUAAAAUUUAUUGUUUCAUAAAUAUUUUUAAUAAUUUAAUUGAAAUGAAAUGUUAAUCGUUUUUUAAGAUAUCUAGUUUCUUUAGAAAUAAAUUAAAUUUAUAAUUUUAAAAAUUAAAUAAUUUUUUAAAAAAUUAUUUAAUUUAAAAUUUAAAAAUUUUAAGGGAUAAGCUUUAAAAUAAAAUUUUAUAAAUAUUUUUUAUUAAUAUUAAGAAUUUUAUAAUUUAAAUUUUUAAAUAAAAUAUAAUUUGUUAUAAAUAAUUUUAAAAAUUAAAAAAAAUUUAAAUUUUUUUUUUUAGAUAAUUAUAUAAAGAAAAAAAAAAUAAUUAAAUAUUUUUUAUUAUAAUGAUAAAAUUAGUAUAAAUAUAAAUUAAUUAAAUUAUAAAAAUUUUUAUAAUUAAUUAAAAAGAAUUCGGCAAAUAAAAAUAAAUUAUAUUCACCUGUUUAUCAAAAACAUGUCUUUUUGAUUAAUAAUUUAAAGUCUAAUCUGCCCACUGAUUAUAUUAAAGGGCUGCAGUAUUUUGACUGUACAAAGGUAGCAUAAUCAUUAGUCUCUUAAUUAGUGACUUGUAUGAAUGAUUGAAUGAAAUAUAAGCUGUUUCUUAAUUAUUAAUAGAAUUUAAUUUUUUUAUUAAAAAGUAAAAAUAAAUUUAAAAGACGAGAAGACCCCAUAGAGUUUAAUAUUAUUUAUUAAUUAAAAAUUAUUUUUUAUAUAAUAAUUAAAAUUAUAAAUAUUAUUUUAUUGGGGUGAUAAAAAAAUUAAAAUAACUUUUUUAUAAAAUUUCCAUUGAUAAAUGAAUAUAUGAUCCAUUAUUAAUGAUUAAAAGAAAAAAUUACCUUGGGGAUAACAGCGUAAUUUUUUUUUUUAGUUCUUAUAAAAAAAAGAGUUUGCGACCUCGAUGUUGGAUUAAGAUAAAAUUUAAAUGCAAAAGUUUAAAAUUUUGAUCUGUUCGAUCAUUAAAAUCUUACAUGAUCUGAGUUCAAACCGGUGUGAGCCAGGUUGGUUUCUAUCUUUAAAUUAAUAAAAUAUUUUAGUACGAAAGGAUUGAAUAUUUAAAAUAAUUUUAAAUUAUUGAAUUUUAUUAAAUAAAUUAUAAAUAUAUUUUUAUAAAAAAAAAAUAAAUAUUAUAUAUAUAUAUAUAUAUAAUAUAUAUAUAUAUAUAU
RNAcentral lists this ribosomal RNA (1405 nucleotides) under Orna nebulosa. RNAcentral's name for it is "16S ribosomal RNA". The stretch from base 1085 to 1243 matches the Rfam family "Eukaryotic large subunit ribosomal RNA", at positions 2825 to 2984 of the family's 3401-position model. The record is from RNAcentral. Lineage: Eukaryota; Metazoa; Arthropoda; Insecta; Lepidoptera; Zygaenidae.